This 407-nucleotide ribosomal RNA is filed under the name uncultured bacterium. RNAcentral describes it as "bacterial SSU rRNA". It matches the Rfam family "Bacterial small subunit ribosomal RNA", at positions 30 to 430 of the family's 1533-position model. The record is from RNAcentral.
AGUGAACGCUGGCGGCAGGCCUAAUACAUGCAAGUCGAACGGCAGCACAGCAGAGCUUGCUCUGUGGGUGACGAGUGGCGGACGGGUGAGGAAUACGUGGGAAUCUGCCCAGUCGUGGGGGAUAACGUAGGGAAACUUACGCUAAUACCGCAUGCGCCCUUCGGGGGAAAGCCGGGGACCUUCGGGCCUGGCGCGAUUGGAUGAGCCCACGUCGGAUUAGCUAGUUGGCGGGGUAAAGGCCCACCAAGGCGACGAUCCGUAGCUGGUCUGAGAGGAUGAUCAGCCACACUGGAACUGAGACACGGUCCAGACUCCUACGGGAGGCAGCAGUAGGGAAUAUUGGACAAUGGGCGCAAGCCUGAUCCAGCCAUGCCGCGUGAGUGAAGAAGGCCCUCGGGUUCGUAAAA